CACGCNGUAAACGCUGAGUGCUAGGUGUUAGGUCCUNUCCGGGACUUAGUGCCGACGCUAACGCAUUAAGCACUCCGCCUGGGGAGUACGACCGCAAGGUUGAAACUCAAAGGAAUUGACGGGGGCCCGCACAAGCGGUGGAGCAUGUGGUUUAAUUCGAAGCAACGCGAAGAACCUUACCAGGUCUUGACAUCCCGAUGCCCGCUCUAGAGAUAGAGUUUUACUUUUUGUACAUCGGAGACAGGUGGUGCAUGGUUGUCGUCAGCUCGUGUCGUGAGAUGUUGGGUUAANNNNNNNNNNCGAGCGCAACCCUUAUUGUUAGUUGCCAUCAUUAAGUUGGGCACUCUAGCGAGACUGCCGGUAAUAAACCGGAGGAAGGUGGGGAUGACGUCAAAUCAUCAUGCCCCUUAUGACCUGGGCUACACACGUGCUACAAUGGUUGGUACAACGAGUCGCAAGCCGGUGACGGCAAGCUAAUCUCUGAAAGCCAAUCUCAGUUCGGAUUGUAGGCUGCAACUCGCCUACAUGAAGUCGGAAUCGCUAGUAAUCGCGGAUCAGCACGCCGCGGUGAAUACGUUCCCGGGCCUUG
RNAcentral lists this ribosomal RNA (589 nucleotides) under uncultured bacterium. RNAcentral's name for it is "partial 16S ribosomal RNA". It matches the Rfam family "Bacterial small subunit ribosomal RNA", at positions 796 to 1383 of the family's 1533-position model. The record is from RNAcentral.